AACGUGCCCUGGAGUGGGGGAUAACGCAGCGAAAGUUGCGCUAAUACCGCAUACGAUCUAAGGAUGAAAGCGGGGGAUUCGCAAGAACCUCGUGCUCCUGGAGCGGCCGAUAUCUGAUUAGCUAGUUGGUGGGGUAAAGGCCUACCAAGGCAUCGAUCAGUAGCUGGUCUGAGAGGACGACCAGCCACACUGGAACUGAGACACGGUCCAGACUCCUACGGGAGGCAGCAGUGGGGAAUUUUGGACAAUGGGCGCAAGCCUGAUCCAGCAAUGCCGCGUGAGUGAAGAAGGCCUUCGGGUUGUAAGCUCUUUGUCAGGGAAGAAACGGUGCGGGCUAAUAUCCCGCACUAAAUGAGGUACCUGAAGAAUAAGCACGGCUAACUACGUGCCAGCAGCCGCGGUAAUACGUAGGGUGCAAGCGUUAAUCGGAAUUACUGGGCGUAAAGCGUGCGCAGGCGGUUUUGUAAGUCUGUCGUGAAAUCCCCGGGCUCAACCUGGGAAUUGCGAUGGAGACUGCAAGGCUAGAAUCUGGCAGAGGGGGGUAGAAUUCCACGUGUAGCAGUGAAAUGCGUAGAGAUGUGGAGGAACACCGAUGGCGAAGGCAGCCCCCUGGGUCAAGAUUGACGCUCAUGCACGAAAGCGUGGGGAGCAAACAGGAUUAGAUACCCUGGUAGUCCACGCCCUAAACGAUGUCUACUAGUUGUCGGGUUUUAAUUAACUUGGUAACGCAGCUAACGCGUGAAGUAGACCGCCUGGGGAGUACGGUCGCAAGAUUAAAACUCAAAGGAAUUGACGGGGACCCGCACAAGCGGUGGAUGAUGUGGAUUAAUUCGAUGCAACGCGAAAAACCUUACCUACCCUUGACAUGUACGGAAGCCACGAGAGAUCGAGGCGUGCUCGAAAGAGAGCCGUAACACAGGUGCUGCAUGGCUGUCGUCAGCUCGUGUCGUGAGAUGUUGGGUUAAGUCCCGCAACGAGCGCAACCCUUGUCAUUAGUUGCUACGAAAGAGCACUCUAAUGAGACUGCCGGUGACAAACCGGAGGAAGGUGGGGAUGACGUCAAGUCCUCAUGGCCCUUAUGGGUAGGGCUUCACACGUCAUACAAUGGUACAUACAGAGGGCCGCCAACCCGCGAGGGGGAGCUAAUCCCAGAAAGUGUAUCGUAGUCCGGAUUGUAGUCUGCAACUCGACUACAUGAAGUUGGAAUCGCUAGUAAUCGCGGAUCAGCAUGUCGCGGUGAAUACGUUCCCGGGUCUUGUACACACCGCCCGUCACACCAUGGGAGCGGGUUUUACCAGAAGUAGGUAGCUUAACCGCAAGGAGGGCGCUUACCACGGUAGGAUUCGUGACUGGG
RNAcentral lists this ribosomal RNA (1354 nucleotides) under beta proteobacterium 176. Its description in RNAcentral is "16S ribosomal RNA". It matches the Rfam family "Bacterial small subunit ribosomal RNA", at positions 123 to 1479 of the family's 1533-position model. The record is from RNAcentral. Lineage: Bacteria; Pseudomonadati; Pseudomonadota; Betaproteobacteria.